Molecule: long non-coding RNA, 460 nt
Filed under: Rattus norvegicus (Norway rat)
Lineage: Eukaryota; Metazoa; Chordata; Mammalia; Rodentia; Muridae
Description: long non-coding RNA NONRATT018152
Source: RNAcentral
GAAAGCUCCACGUAAAUUUUAGUCUAACCCCCUUUUCUCUCUGCUCCUCUUCCUAGAGUAUCAAUGUACAAAUGGACGAAGACACACUACAUGAAAUUCUCUGUGAAGUAGACUUGAACAAGAAUGGUCAGGUUGAGCUCCAUGAGUUUCUGCAGCUGAUGAGCGCAGUUCAUACAGGAAGGGUGUCUGGAAGCCGGCUUGCCAUCCUCAUGAAGACUGCCGAGGAGAACUUGGACCGUAGAGUUCCAAUCCCCGUGGAUCGUAGUUGUGGAGGAUUGUGAGUCUGACCAAUAAAUCCACAACCAACAAGCCUAGGACAGUCAGCACUAUGUACAACCAGAGACGACUUAAACCACUCUAAAAUAGUGGCCAUUGUAGCUGCCUUUUUUUUUUUUUUUUUUUAAAAAAAAAAAAAAACAAACAAGGGAAAAACAGCAAAAUCAAAAAAAAAAAAAAAAAA